AUGCAGAUGCAGCCACACCAUUGCCCAAACAGCAGGGCCUUCGUCGGCUUGGCGCUCUUGCUGCUGCUCGUCUCCUUGGCCUCUCCGUCCAGCUCCUGCACGGCGCAGGAGAGGAGCUCCCUCCUCCGGCUCCUCGCUGGGCUCUCGCGGGACGGGGGCCUCGCGGCGACAUGGCGGAGGGAUAGGGACUGCUGCUCGUGGGAAGGGAUCACCUGCGGCGGCCCCAAUGGGGCGGUCACCGAUGUUUCGCUGGCUUCUCGAGGCCUCGAGGGGUCCAUCUCGCCGUCCCUGGGCAACCUCACCAGCCUCCUCCACCUCAACCUGUCGCGCAACUCGCUGUCCGGUGGCUUGCCGCUGGAGUUGGUGUCGUCAAGCAGCAUCGUUGUCCUUGACGUCAGCUUCAACCACCUGACUGGAGACCUGAGCGAGCUGCCACCUUCAACACCUGCGCUGCCUCUGCAGGUACUGAACAUCUCGAGCAACCUGUUUACAGGAAGGUUUCCAUCUGCUAUAUGGGAGGUGAUGAAGAGCCUGAUCGCGCUCAAUGCCAGCACCAACAGCUUUACUGGGCAGAUACCAAUUACCCCCUGUGUGAGCGCGCCAUCUUUGGCCGUGCUCGAACUCAGUUUUAACGAAUUCAGUGGAAAUAUCCCUCCAGGGCUCAGUAAUUGCUCUGUGCUGAACCUGCUCGGCGCUGGCUACAACAACCUCGUUGGGGCUCUUCCGGACGAGCUCUUCAAAGUUACCUCGUUAGAGCACCUCUCUUUGCCUAGCAAUGGUUUAGAAGGAGCUGUCAAUGGCAUCAGCAAGCUAACAAAUCUGGUCACCCUUGAUCUUGGGGGGAAUGAGUUCAACGGCAGUAUUCCAGAGUCUAUAGGUGACCUGAAGAGAUUGGAGGAGCUGCAUUUGGAACACAAUAACAUGUCAGGGGAGCUGCCAUCAGCUCUGAGCAACUGCACAAAUCUCGUAACAAUUGACCUCAAGAGCAACCAGUUCAUUGGAGAACUUACCAAGGUCAACUUCACAAGCCUGCCCAAUCUGAAAGUUUUGGAUCUUCUGUACAACAACUUCACCGGCACAGUUCCAGAAAGCAUAUACUCCUGCAGCAGGCUGACUGCAAUACGGCUAUCUAGUAACAAUUUCCAUGGCCAGUUGUCAGAAAGAAUAGGCAAUCUGAAGUCCCUCGCAUUCCUAUCACUUGUUAACAACUCCCUUACAAAUAUCACAAGCACACUUCAGAUCCUUCGGAGUUCCAGGAGCCUCACCACCCUUCUUCUUGGGUUCAACUUCAUGCAUGAGACCAUGCCAGAGGAUAUCAACAUUGAUGGUUUUGAGAGUCUUCAGGUUUUUUCGAUGAAUGAUUGUUCAUUGUCUGGAACAAUUCCCCAUUGGUUAUCAAAGCUACCGAAUUUGGAGAUGUUAUUUUUACACAACAAUCACCUCACUGGGUCAAUACCUGACUGGAUCAGCAGCCUAAACUUGCUCUUCUAUCUAGACAUAACAAACAACAGCCUUACAGGGGAAAUUCCAAGUGCCUUAAUGGAGAUGCCAAUGCUGAAGUCAGACAAAACUGCACCAAAGGUCUUUGAGCUGCCUGUUUAUAAUAAGAGCCCAUUUAUGCAAUAUCGCAUGCCCAGUGCUUUUCCUAAAGUACUGAAUCUAGGGAUGAAUAACUUCACUGGUGUGAUACCUGAGAAGAUUGGCCAGUUGAAAGGACUCGUUUCCCUCAACCUGAGCUCCAACCAACUAUCUGGAAAGAUCCCAGAAGCCAUCUGCAACCUCACGAACCUGCAGGCGCUCGACUUGUCUGGUAAUCAUCUCAUUGGUACAAUUCCAGCUGCACUAAACAAUCUGCACUUCCUUUCGAAAUUCAACAUUUCCAAUAAUGACCUAGAAGGGUCUAUUCCAGCUGUGGGCCAGCUUAGCACGUUUCCAAAUUCUAGCUUUGAUGGCAACCCAAAAUUGUGCGGUCAUAUGCUUGUGAACCAUUGCGGCUCAGCUGAAACACCUCUGAUCACCCAGAGAAGAAAGAAAAAGAAGGGUGUCUUUGCACUUGCAUUUGGUGUGUUUUUUGGAGGGGUGGCCGUUCUUUUCUUGCUGGCUCGUCUCCUUGUCUUGCUCAGGGGUACAAAUUUCAUGAGCAAAAGGCAGAGCAACAACAAUAAUGACAUAGAGGCAACAUCUUCAAAUCUCAAUUCAGAAUACUCCUUGGUGAUAGUUCCACGAGGCAAGGGAGAACAAAACAAACUCACACUGACGGAUCUCCUGAAGGCUACAAAGAACUUUGACAAGGAUCAUAUCAUUGGCUGUGGAGGUUAUGGGCUAGUCUACAAGGCUGAGCUACCUGAUGGCUCAAAGGUCGCCAUAAAAAAGCUCAAUAGUGAAAUGUGUCUGAUGGAAAGGGAAUUCAGUGCAGAGGUUGAUGCACUCUCCACGGCAGAGCAUGACAAUCUUGUACCAUUCUGGGGUUACUGCAUACAGGGAGAUUCAAGACUACUGAUAUACUCCUACAUGGAGAACGGCAGCCUGGAUGAUUGGCUUCACAACAGGGACACUGAUGACAACUCAUUUCUUGACUGGCCGAUACGGCUGAAGAUUGCACAAGGAGCAAGCCAGGGUCUAUCUUACAUCCACGAUGUAUGCAAGCCUCACAUUGUUCACCGUGACAUCAAGUCGAGCAACAUCCUACUAGACAAAGACUUCAAAGCUUAUGUUGCAGACUUUGGGUUAUCCAGAUUGAUCUUCCCCAACAGAACUCAUGUGACCACUGAGUUGGUCGGUACUCUCGGGUACAUCCCCCCAGAGUACGGGCAAGGAUGGGUAGCUACACUGAGAGGUGAUAUGUACAGUUUUGGUGUGGUCCUGCUUGAACUGGUAACGGGGAGGCGGCCUGUUCAAAUCUGUCCCAGGUCAAAAGAGCUUGUCAAGUGGGUACAGGAGAUGAGAUCCAAAGGGAAGCAGAUUGAAGUCCUGGAUCCAACACUUCGAGGCACAGGAUAUGAAGAGCAGAUGCUGAAGGUGCUUGAAGUUGCUUGCCAAUGUGUCAACCACAAUCCUGGCAUGAGGCCAGCCAUACAGGAGGUAGUAUCUUUCCUGAACAGCAUAGAUGCUAACCUUCAGAAACAAAAUUGA
Molecule: ribosomal RNA, 3132 nt
Filed under: Triticum aestivum (bread wheat)
Lineage: Eukaryota; Viridiplantae; Streptophyta; Magnoliopsida; Poales; Poaceae
Description: partial small subunit ribosomal RNA
Source: RNAcentral